UACGAAGGGGGCUAGCGUUGCUCGGAAUCACUGGGCGUAAAGGGUGCGUAGGCGGGUCUUUAAGUCAGGGGUGAAAUCCUGGAGCUCAACUCCAGAUCUGCCUUUGAUACUGAAGAUCUUGAGUUCGGGAGAGGCGAGUGGAACUGCGAGUGUAGAGGUGAAAUUCGUAGAUAUUCGCAAGAACACCAGUGGCGAAGGCGGCUCACUGGCCCGAUACUGACGCUGAGGCGCGAAAGCGUGGGGAGCAAACAGG
RNAcentral lists this ribosomal RNA (253 nucleotides) under uncultured bacterium. RNAcentral's name for it is "partial 16S ribosomal RNA". It matches the Rfam family "Bacterial small subunit ribosomal RNA", at positions 524 to 776 of the family's 1533-position model. The record is from RNAcentral.